AAAACAAAGCAUUGCGAUGGUCCC
This 24-nucleotide small nuclear RNA is filed under the name Arabidopsis thaliana (thale cress). RNAcentral describes it as "snRNA_07247". Lineage: Eukaryota; Viridiplantae; Streptophyta; Magnoliopsida; Brassicales; Brassicaceae. The record is from RNAcentral.